UGCGCUGCACCCUCGUCCAUUCCCAAAUCCUUUGUCUGACCAAAUGAUUCUCUAACCUCUUCUCCCUCUCCACGAUACUUCUUGCUCUUCUCUUCUCAAAUUCUUUUUCUAUUCUUAAAGUGCUGCUCAUGUUAUUCUCGAUUUCAUGUCAGUUGUAUUAUCUUCUAUUUCAUGCAAUUCGUGUCGUUCUCCCAUUUGCCAUUCUUCGUUCAUUGUUGAUCUUGUUGGCUCUUAAGCAGUGCAAGCCGUUUGUUGUGAAUUGUGGGUGCUCUCAAUUAUUUAGAUUUUAGGAUAUGCAAUUUUGUUCUAGUCAUAUUUGGGUGUGUAAUUUUUUCAUCUGUAUAUUUUAAUUUUUUUUUAUUAUUCAGCUUUAAAUUUUUAUUGUUGAUUUGUUUGAUUUCAAUGGAA
RNAcentral lists this long non-coding RNA (408 nucleotides) under Manihot esculenta (cassava). Its description in RNAcentral is "long non-coding RNA (MESC_LNC010827)". Lineage: Eukaryota; Viridiplantae; Streptophyta; Magnoliopsida; Malpighiales; Euphorbiaceae. The record is from RNAcentral.